This 301-nucleotide ribosomal RNA is filed under the name uncultured bacterium. RNAcentral's name for it is "partial 16S ribosomal RNA". It matches the Rfam family "Bacterial small subunit ribosomal RNA", at positions 509 to 807 of the family's 1533-position model. The record is from RNAcentral.
CAGCCGCCGCGGUAAUACGUAGGUCCCGAGCGUUGUUCGGAAUUACUGGGCGUAAAGCGCACGUAGGCGGAUAUUUAAGUCAGGGGUGAAAUCCCAGAGCUCAACUCUGGAACUGCCUUUGAUACUGGGUAUCUUGAGUAUGGAAGAGGUGAGUGGAAUUCCGAGUGUAGAGGUGAAAUUCGUAGAUAUUCGGAAGAACACCAGUGGCGAAGGCGGCUCACUGGACGACUGUUGACGCUGAGGUACGAAAGCGUGGGGAGCAAACAGGAUUAGAUACCCCCGUAGUCCCUGUCUCUUAUAC